CGGGGGGGGUGCUUACCAUGCAGUCGACGCUGAAGCACCAGCUUGCUGGUGUGGAUGAGUGGCGAACGGGUGAGUAAUACGUGAGUAACCUGCCCUUGACUCUGGGAUAAGCCCGGGAAACUGGGUCUAAUACUGGAUGCUACACGUCACCGCAUGGUGGUGUGUGGAAAGGGUUUACUGGUCUUGGAUGGGCUCACGGCCUAUCAGCUUGUUGGUGAGGUAAUGGCUCACCAAGGCGACGACGGGUAGCCGGCCUGAGAGGGUGACCGGCCACACUGGGACUGAGACACGGCCCAGACUCCUACGGGAGGCAGCAGUGGGGAAUAUUGCACAAUGGGCGAAAGCCUGAUGCAGCGACGCCGCGUGAGGGAUGACGGCCUUCGGGUUGUAAACCUCUUUCAGCAGGGAAGAAGCCACAAGUGACGGUACCUGCAGAAGAAGCGCCGGCUAACUACGUGCCAGCAGCCGCGGUAAUACGUAGGGCGCAAGCGUUGUCCGGAAUUAUUGGGCGUAAAGAGCUCGUAGGCGGUUUGUCGCGUCUGCUGUGAAAGCCCGGGGCUUAACCCCGGGUGUGCAGUGGGUACGGGCAGACUAGAGUGCAGUAGGGGAGACUGGAAUUCCUGGUGUAGCGGUGGAAUGCGCAGAUAUCAGGAGGAACACCGAUGGCGAAGGCAGGUCUCUGGGCUGUUACUGACGCUGAGGAGCGAAAGCAUGGGGAGCGAACAGGAUUAGAUACCCUGGUAGUCCAUGCCGUAAACGUUGGGCACUAGGUGUGGGGGACAUUCCACGUUUUCCGCGCCGUAGCUAACGCAUUAAGUGCCCCGCCUGGGGAGUACGGCCGCAAGGCUAAAACUCAAUGGAAAAUUGACGGAGUA
This 875-nucleotide ribosomal RNA is filed under the name Kocuria sp. Its description in RNAcentral is "bacterial SSU rRNA". It matches the Rfam family "Bacterial small subunit ribosomal RNA", at positions 36 to 920 of the family's 1533-position model. Lineage: Bacteria; Bacillati; Actinomycetota; Actinomycetes; Micrococcales; Micrococcaceae. The record is from RNAcentral.